This is a long non-coding RNA of Anthonomus grandis grandis, 2585 nucleotides long. RefSeq lists it as uncharacterized. The record is from RefSeq and is a predicted model, not a curated record. Lineage: Eukaryota; Metazoa; Arthropoda; Insecta; Coleoptera; Curculionidae. The transcript has 2 exons.
UUCUCCUUUUUUUUUCACUCUGCUGAUAAAACGGAGAUAAGCGAAGUAUAAAACACUCCUUAAUAAGAUUCUCUACAAAUUUGUUCUCAAAAUUUCCAUUUUGUCUCGAGAAACUUUAUCAACGGAUUUUUAUCGUCGUUUUACGGGAUUUCAUUUAAUUAGAAGAAAAAAGUUUCUAUAUAAAGUAUAAAGUAUACGUAGUUAAUGGCUUGGGACAUAAAACACUAUUCUGGGGGCGCUCUAAGCUCUUGUUAGUUCCACAUACAACGUUAUUAUUGAGUCGUCUCUGAGAAAUGCCUUGCGGUGUUAUUACGAGAGAGCCGUGGUUUGCAAGGGUCACUGAUUGAAAUUUACAUUCGGGAGACAAGCUUAGAAUGGAGAUGGGAUAAUUAUUUGGGUCCACCUUAAGGAGCUUACAACUUAUUUUAAUAUAGAUUAACGUACAUAAUACCACAGGUUUGAAACUUUCACGUAUUUAAGUAGAGAGAGAAUUAUAGAAAUAAGAUGAUUCAUAGAUAUUCUGAAACUGAACUGCAAAGAUAUAUAUUUUAGUCUAAAGUUACCAGGAAAGGAUUAAACUAUAUAAAUGUUUAUAAAUUAUAUAAAGUGCUUCUUAAAAGAAAAAUUGUUGUCCUUGGAAAUCUUUUAAAUAAAUACUAAGUACUCAAAAGUAUAUCAGAUAAUCGCAACCAUUUUUAAAUAAAAAUCAAUUUAACAAUUUUUUUAUUAUGUACCUAUUUUAAACAAUCAUUAUGAGUCACGCUGCAAUAAUUAAGAUAUGAAAUUAUUAAUUAUCUUUAAUUGUUUUUCUGAUCUUUUUUUGUGUCUUAAUUGAAUCUAUGAGAUAAAAAUUCAAAGGUAGUGGGCAUAAAUUUAAAAUUCUAAAUUAUAACUAAAUCUGCUCAUUUUAAUCAAAUAUUAAUAAAGCAGUAGUAACCCAAUUUGUAAUAAAACAAAAUUUGGCAACUGUAAAUUUAAAUGAACAGGAAAACUGCCAAUUUAAACAACCUCGUAACUCUAACCAUUUCAGAGAUAGAGGCAUAUUAUGUAAAAUCAAUAAUGUAACAAACAUCCGCAUAUUAAAUAUAUAUAAAAUAAAUUUAGCAAAAAUCAUUCAUAUGAGCAAUUAGAUUAUAUGCGAGUUCGUAAGUGAAUAAGUCUAUUUUAUUUCAUUAAAUGCCUAUAUGAAGUAGUAUAUUUUAAAUUUAAUCUAUAUUUAAUAGUGCCCAAAUACCCAAUAACUUAAAUGUGUCUCUUUACUGUCCUUUAAAUUAAACAUAUCUUUAUAGGCCAACAUGCUUUAACAAAAUUGCUGCUUGGUUUCAUUUUACAGGGUGUUAAAGUUUUGUUUUCCAAAACAACAAUUUUGUUAUACCUGAAAGAUGUUGAUUAUAACUUGUUUGGAGUCUGUGUAAGUUUGAAUUUGGAUACAUUUUAUAAUGGCAUAAAUAUUUUUAAGUAAGGUAUCCUAUGAUUUUUGUAAGGGUGAGCUAUUUGAUUACAUGCUCUAAAAAACAUGAUCGAUGGCUUGAUGACAGAGUUGUCGGCAAAAUACCCAUGUAAAAUGUUACUGGUUUCAAUUCUCUAGGGUAUUAAUGUGUAUUGAUAAAAUUUGAUUUUAAUUAGUCUUUUGGAAAUUUUAUAAAUAUUAAUCAAUAUUUUAGGCAUCUGCAAGGUGGCAAUAUUUAAAGCUUUAUAACCCAUCAUUUUAAUUAUUACUCCUAUUCCAACUCAUUAAUUUAUUUUUAAAACGAAUUAUUGCUUUUGAAGUCCGAUGACAGAGUAUGAUAUAAAUAAGGAUAAUUUUCAAUUUUAACAAAAUUAAAUAAAAUUAAAAAAAAACAGAGACACAACUCUGAACAGUAAGUUAGGCUGGUAUAGGAAGGAAUUAUGCUGCAAAAAGGCUAUAUUGUUAACAUCCUUUUAUGUUCUCAUUAUUUUUACUUUCUUUUAUUUUUGUUCUCUCUUUUUUCUUCUACAUUUUUUUUCAUUUUUAAAUUUUAUGUUUAAGUCUAAGCAAGUUUCUACCUUAUUUACAGGUAUAAAUAAAGAGCUGCAUUAAAUAACGUCAUAACUAAAAAUAACUCUUUUUUUAUCCCAUUAAGACUCAUGAAAAACAUGAGCUAAGUUAGCCAAAAUAGGACAUGGUUUAGUUAAUAGCUUUAUAAAAAGAUACCGUCUAGGCACAAAAAUUGAAGAAGAGAAAGGCUAAUCCAGUUCUGAAAAAAGACGGAUAUGGCAGUUAUGAAUAAGUUUUUCAAGUUAUAUGCCCAAAGGCUUUAUACAUGGAAAGCUCCCGGAGAUACUCUGCCUAAAAGUUUUUAAGUAAUUUUGCUUUCUUCCAGGAAUCUCAAAGUUAAGUUUUGGAAAAUAUUUAUGCCUGGAAAAAAUUCAAAUUGACAACUGCCUUGAAUAAAUUAAUUUCUCUGUCCAGGCUUUUGAGGUUAUUUUUCAUGCCUUAUAGAUUUUGUUUAAGUGCAGGGAUUGCAAUUCAUUUCUAUUUUUAGAUGCUUGAAAAAAAUUAAGGCACAUCUCAACUGCCUGGAAUAAUUUUUUUUUCAAUCAGCUGAAUUAAUUUCUCUAUU